RNAcentral lists this ribosomal RNA (443 nucleotides) under uncultured bacterium. Its description in RNAcentral is "partial 16S ribosomal RNA". It matches the Rfam family "Bacterial small subunit ribosomal RNA", at positions 355 to 788 of the family's 1533-position model. The record is from RNAcentral.
UGGGGAAUUUUGGACAAUGGGCGAAAGCCUGAUCCAGCCAUGCCGCGUGCAGGAUGAAGGCCUUCGGGUUGUAAACUGCUUUUGUACGGAACGAAAAGACUCUGGUUAAUACCUGGGGUCCAUGACGGUACCGUAAGAAUAAGCACCGGCUAACUACGUGCCAGCAGCCGCGGUAAUACGUAGGGUGCAAGCGUUAAUCGGAAUUACUGGGCGUAAAGCGUGCGCAGGCGGUUAUAUAAGACAGAUGUGAAAUCCCCGGGCUCAACCUGGGACUGCAUUUGUGACUGUAUAGCUAGAGUACGGCAGAGGGGGGAUGGAAUUCCCGCGUGUAGCAGUGAAAAUGCGUAGAUAUGCGGAGGAACACCGAUGGCGAAGGCAAUCCCCUGGCCUGUACUGACGNUCAUGCACGAAAGCGUGGGGGAGCAAACAGGAUUAGAUACCCU